CGAUGAUCUCCCGCUUGCGGGGGUGAUUAGUGGCGAACGGGUGAGUAAUACGUGAGUAACCUGCCCUUGACUCUGGGAUAAGCCUGGGAAACCGGGUCUAAUACUGGAUACGACCUUCCACUGCAUGGUGGGGGGUGGAAAGGGUUUCUGGUCUUGGAUGGGCUCACGGCCUAUCAGCUGGUUGGUGGGGUAAUGGCCUACCAAGGCGACGACGGGUAGCCGGCCUGAGAGGGUGACCGGCCACACUGGGACUGAGACACGGCCCAGACUCCUACGGGAGGCAGCAGUGGGGAAUAUUGCACAAUGGGCGCAAGCCUGAUGCAGCGACGCCGCGUGAGGGAUGACGGCCUUCGGGUUGUAAACCUCUUUCAGCAGGGAAGAAGCGCAAGUGACGGUACCUGCAGAAGAAGCGCCGGCUAACUACGUGCCAGCAGCCGCGGUAAUACGUAGGGCGCAAGCGUUGUCCGGAAUUAUUGGGCGUAAAGAGCUCGUAGGCGGUUUGUCGCGUCUGCUGUGAAAGCCCGGGGCUCAACCCCGGGUCUGCAGUGGGUACGGGCAGACUAGAGUGCAGUAGGGGAGACUGGAAUUCCUGGUGUAGCGGUGAAAUGCGCAGAUAUCAGGAGGAACACCGAUGGCGAAGGCAGGUCUCUGGGCUGUUACUGACGCUGAGGAGCGAAAGCAUGGGGAGCGAACAGGAUUAGAUACCCUGGUAGUCCAUGCCGUAACGUUGGGCACUAGGUGUGGGGGGCAUUCCACGUCCUCCGCGCCGUAGCUAACGCAUUAAGUGCCCCGCCUGGGGAGUAC
This 804-nucleotide ribosomal RNA is filed under the name Kocuria sp. Its description in RNAcentral is "bacterial SSU rRNA". It matches the Rfam family "Bacterial small subunit ribosomal RNA", at positions 67 to 883 of the family's 1533-position model. The record is from RNAcentral. Lineage: Bacteria; Bacillati; Actinomycetota; Actinomycetes; Micrococcales; Micrococcaceae.